Molecule: microRNA precursor, 72 nt
Filed under: Petromyzon marinus (sea lamprey)
Lineage: Eukaryota; Metazoa; Chordata; Hyperoartia; Petromyzontiformes; Petromyzontidae
Description: Pma-Let-7-P2o19_pre stem-loop
Rfam family: let-7 microRNA precursor family
About the family: This family represents the microRNAs (miRNA) let-7 and mir-98. let-7 was identified from a study of developmental timing in C. elegans, and was later shown to be part of a much larger class of non-coding RNAs termed miRNAs. The extents of the hairpin precursors are not generally known and are estimated based on hairpin prediction. The products are thought to have regulatory roles through complementarity to mRNA.
Source: RNAcentral
UGAGGUAGUAGAUUGUAUGGUUUUAGGGUCACACCCUCGGUUGGGAGAUAACUAUGCAAUCUACUGUCUUUC